Molecule: long non-coding RNA, 1180 nt
Filed under: Helianthus annuus (common sunflower)
Lineage: Eukaryota; Viridiplantae; Streptophyta; Magnoliopsida; Asterales; Asteraceae
Description: hypothetical non coding rna
Source: RNAcentral
GUAAAUCAAGCGCCUCUUUCAUAUUUAUAUUUAUGAACCCUAGAUCCUAAAUCACCCGAACCCUGUUGUUUGCGUUUUCUUUAGAUAAAACAAUAAUUGCGGGUUUAGAGUUUCUCAAUUGCAUACAUCGGCUGUUUCAGAUGUCUUGGAGUAUUUAGGGUUUUUCAAUCAACUUGAUGUCGUCGAGAAUCACCAGGGUUUUGUGAGAAUUGCGAGUUUAAGGUUUUCCAAUCAUGGAAUUUGACGAUCAUCUGACGUGUUCUUGGUCUGCCGUAGAAUUAAUUAACAGCAGGUUGUUAUUGUAGCAUGCUUCUGAAGCAGAAACAAGUCAUCGAAUGCCCUUCCAUAUGAUACAUCUGGUCAAACCUUAUGGCAUUUGAGAAACCAUAAGGAGCCCCACCUCAGCUGUUGGCAGAUUUUCUAACGCCUUGAAGUUUAUCGUCGAAGAGUCCUCAGCCCCCUGGAGCUUAACGGAAACUGAAACAGAUUAUGCAAUAAUGCUAUGACGCACAUAUUCGACAAACUUGUCUCGAAGUACAGUACUGGGGCAGUUACUGACUUACUGGAUAUGUCAUAUAGUUGUCAUAGAUGCUUUUAAAGCGGAAGAAUUUGCUGAGGUGGCAACGAAGCCUCUGAAAGCCCUUCCAUAUGACACACCUGGUUGAAGUUUAUGGCAUUUGAGUACCCCAUAAGGGGUCCCAGCUCAUCUGUUGGCAGAUUUUUGACAUGUUGAAGUUUAUCGUCAAAGAGGUCCCUAAACUUGUAUGAAAAAAAAGAUGCAAGCAUUAGCCAAAUUGGGAAGUGAACAUGUUAGAAAAUAUCUUCAUUUGCCUUUUUGAUGAAGUUCAACGCGUGACAAGUGUAAAUGUAGGGGUGACAAGUGUAAUACAAAGAUGCUGUUAGUGGAUUAUAUAGAUGCUGCAUGUGCAAAUUUGAUGAAGUUCAACGCGUGAACUUUUUCCCGAGUGAAGUUUCACGCGUGGAACUUAAUGGUGGCGGCGGUGUUCCGAUGCUUAUCACUCGUGAUGGAACCUCCAUCAAGGACCACCCCCAGUCCCCUUAUUAGUUAAACAAUGUAAAAGAAGGUUGUGAAUGUAUGAGAUUGCUUUGACAAUUUGAAACUUUCCUUUUUUAUGUACUCGUUAAACCUUUUCUUUAUUAAGAAGAUUCAGUUUCUCUU